UACGGAGGAUGCAAGCGUUAUCCGGAAUUAUUGGGCGUAAAGCGUCCGUAGGUGGUUUAUCAAGUCUGCUGUCAAAGCGUGCGGCUUAACCGCAUAAGGGCAGUGGAAACUGAUGAACUAGAGUGCGAUAGGGGUAACAGGAAUUCCCAGUGUAGCGGUGAAAUGCGUAGAUAUCAGGAAGAACACCCGUGGCUAAGGCGGCUCUCUAGUACGUGACUGACGCUUAGACGCGAAAGCGUGGGGAGCGAACAGG
This 253-nucleotide ribosomal RNA is filed under the name uncultured bacterium. RNAcentral describes it as "partial 16S ribosomal RNA". It matches the Rfam family "Bacterial small subunit ribosomal RNA", at positions 524 to 776 of the family's 1533-position model. The record is from RNAcentral.